GAUGAACGCUGGCGGCGUGCCUAAUACAUGCAAGUCGAGCGAACAGACGAGGAGCUUGCUCCUCUGACGUUAGCGGCGGACGGGUGAGUAACACGUGGAUAACCUACCUAUAAGACUGGGAUAACUUCGGGAAACCGGAGCUAAUACCGGAUAAUAUAUUGAACCGCAUGGUUCAAUAGUGAAAGACGGUUUUGCUGUCACUUAUAGAUGAAUCCGCGCCGCAUUAGCUAGUUGGUAAGGUAACGGCUUACCAAGGCAACGAUGCGUAGCCGACCUGAGAGGGUGAUCGGCCACACUGGAACUGAGGCACGGUCCAGACUCCUACGGGAGGCAGCAGUAGGGAAUCUUCCGCAAUGGGCGAAAGCCUGACGGAGCAACGCCGCGUGAGUGAUGAAGGUCUUCGGAUCGUAAAACUCUGUUAUUAGGGAAGAACAAAUGUGUAAGUAACUAUGCACGUCUUGACGGUACCUAAUCAGAAAGCCACGGCUAACUACGUG
This 497-nucleotide ribosomal RNA is filed under the name uncultured bacterium. RNAcentral describes it as "partial 16S ribosomal RNA". It matches the Rfam family "Bacterial small subunit ribosomal RNA", at positions 28 to 507 of the family's 1533-position model. The record is from RNAcentral.